Molecule: long non-coding RNA, 396 nt
Filed under: Oncorhynchus mykiss (rainbow trout)
Lineage: Eukaryota; Metazoa; Chordata; Actinopteri; Salmoniformes; Salmonidae
Description: lncRNA (ENSOMYG00000063316.1)
Source: RNAcentral
AUGUUGUUUUACACGUUUAUUAUUUUACAUGUUUAUUUUCAGGCAACCCAAGCUCCAACCACAAUAUGCCUGAAGCACCAGGAAACCUGUGCCACCGCUACCAAGAAGCAAAAGGCUAAAAUGCAGCAAAAGCCAUCAACUAAUGACGGUCUAUCCAAGCCCCCACUAAAAUCUGCUCCGGCUCACCAGAAAACCUGUGCCAGUGCCACUAAGAAGAAAAAGGUGAAAACUUCCUGCAAGCCACCAGGUAUUGGUGAGAAUCUUGAGCCUUCAUUCUCCAGGGAUCGGUCAUGUGGGAGAGAUGAGAGAUGCCCCUCACCAAAGCGCUGCAAAGGCUCAGACCCUUUUCCUAUGCCGGAAAAUUUUGAAAAAAGGAGUCCUAUAUCUCGUUUGUGA